AGUGAACGCUGGCGGUAGGCCUAACACAUGCAAGUCGAACGGCAGCACAGUAAGAGCUUGCUCUUACGGGUGGCGAGUGGCGGACGGGUGAGGAAUACAUCGGAAUCUACUUUUUCGUGGAGGAUAACGUAGGGAAACUUACGCUAAUACCGCAUACGACCUACGGGUGAAAGCAGGGGAUCUUCGGACCUUGCGCGAUUGAAUGAGCCGAUGUCGGAUUAGCUAGUUGGCGGGGUAAAGGCCCACCAAGGCGACGAUCCGUAGCUGGUCUGAGAGGAUGAUCAGCCACACUGGAACUGAGACACGGUCCAGACUCCUACGGGAGGCAGCAGUGGUGAAUAUUGGACAAUGGGCGCAAGCCUGAUCCAGCCAUACCGCGUGGGUGAAGAAGGCCUUCGGGUUGUAAAGCCCUUUUGUUGGGAAAGAAAAGCAGCAGGUUAAUACCCCGCUGUUCUGACGGUACCCAAAGAAUAAGCACCGGCUAACUUCGUG
This 492-nucleotide ribosomal RNA is filed under the name uncultured bacterium. Its description in RNAcentral is "partial 16S ribosomal RNA". It matches the Rfam family "Bacterial small subunit ribosomal RNA", at positions 29 to 507 of the family's 1533-position model. The record is from RNAcentral.